This 604-nucleotide ribosomal RNA is filed under the name Enterobacter hormaechei. RNAcentral describes it as "bacterial SSU rRNA". It matches the Rfam family "Bacterial small subunit ribosomal RNA", at positions 1 to 594 of the family's 1533-position model. Lineage: Bacteria; Pseudomonadati; Pseudomonadota; Gammaproteobacteria; Enterobacterales; Enterobacteriaceae. The record is from RNAcentral. RNAcentral also lists the same sequence under 2 other names.
AAAUUGAAGAGUUUGAUCAUGGCUCAGAUUGAACGCUGGCGGCAGGCCUAACACAUGCAAGUCGAACGGUAACAGGAAGCAGCUUGCUGCUUUGCUGACGAGUGGCGGACGGGUGAGUAAUGUCUGGGAAACUGCCUGAUGGAGGGGGAUAACUACUGGAAACGGUAGCUAAUACCGCAUAACGUCGCAAGACCAAAGAGGGGGACCUUCGGGCCUCUUGCCAUCGGAUGUGCCCAGAUGGGAUUAGCUAGUAGGUGGGGUAACGGCUCACCUAGGCGACGAUCCCUAGCUGGUCUGAGAGGAUGACCAGCCACACUGGAACUGAGACACGGUCCAGACUCCUACGGGAGGCAGCAGUGGGGAAUAUUGCACAAUGGGCGCAAGCCUGAUGCAGCCAUGCCGCGUGUAUGAAGAAGGCCUUCGGGUUGUAAAGUACUUUCAGCGGGGAGGAAGGUGUUGAGGUUAAUAACCUCAGCAAUUGACGUUACCCGCAGAAGAAGCACCGGCUAACUCCGUGCCAGCAGCCGCGGUAAUACGGAGGGUGCAAGCGUUAAUCGGAAUUACUGGGCGUAAAGCGCACGCAGGCGGUCUGUCAAGUCGGAUG